RNAcentral lists this long non-coding RNA (4722 nucleotides) under Homo sapiens (human). Its description in RNAcentral is "novel transcript". The record is from RNAcentral. Lineage: Eukaryota; Metazoa; Chordata; Mammalia; Primates; Hominidae.
CUCAUGCUUCCAUAAUAGUUCUGGGAUAAUUCUAAACACAAGCCAUUUUUCUAAGGAGAGUCCACAUUAGAGAGGUCUUUGUUUUGUAUUCAAGAUGAUUAAAAUUAUGAACUGGGAAGUUAGUCCCUGGGGUGUCCUGGCUGGCCUUUGGAAAUCUUCACUACAUCUUUCUGGGUUGGAAUUCUCACCACAGCCUGAACGUGGGGCUGUAUCUGAGCUGUCUCUGAGUGCUGUCCAUUUGAUAUAUCGAGUACUGGGUGUUUACCAGGGCUCUUCAAGCCACUGGGAGAAACAGCUAAAGAGUAACCUACUGAUUUGAGAUGUGGAUUUGUGCCCCAUCCCUUUCUCCUUGUUUCCCACAGGAGUUUUAUCUCAAACUCCUAAGCCAUUUUUAAGGAGAUCACUGGAACAAACUCCAAACCUACCCUCUAAUAGUCAAGUUUACCUGAAUUUUCUCAGUUCUCUCGGGAGAAGACUAAUCACACAUUGUAGUACCAACUUGGACUCUUCAUGUGCUUUUCUUAACUGAUUAGAGUUAACACCUCAGCUAAAGUGUAUAGAACAUACAUGGGGCUUCAUCAGGCUUCAGAAUCAGUUUCACUAGAUGUGCUAUGUAGGAGGCCACGGAAAAAUUACUGUAGUAGUAAAAGUUAUCAGUUCUGAUGUAAACAAUCAUUUUGUCCCAUAUUAUAAAUAAAUUGGCCUGAAAAUAUCUUUUCAUAUGUGAGGAAUAAGUAUAUGAUGCCUUUCUCCUUUAAAGUAUGAACUGCUAAAAGACAGGGAUAACGUGUAUUCUGUAUUCCAGCAGCCACAGUGUGUUUCUGGUCUUUGUACCAGGUGCUCAGGAAGUGUUUUCACUGGCUUGGGUUGACUACUUGCCAUCUGCUCUCUGAGCAUUCAUUUCUGAAUGAAAGGGGAGAAAGUGAAAGGAGAGGUGGGAAGAAAGAGGAAGCUGCAGAAAUACGAGGAAACAGCUGGAGGAGGGAGGUGAAGUUGAGGAGGUAAGGUCAGUAAAACAAAAAGCUAGCAGAGGGCAGGGUCAGGCCCUUGGGGUAGAGGGCUAAUUAACUUCUGUCAGCUAGUUGAAUAGAGCCUUGUGUGCUUUGUUAGAGACCAAAGGUACUUCAAAGGAAAAAAAUCUAGAUUCUUCCCUGUGUACCUUAAUAAUUGUUCAUCAGGUCAAAAUCUAUCCUGUCCUCUAGGAAUUCUGGUCUUCCCUCAGGCCUAGCAGAGAGCUUUCUGCCACUACUCAGGCAACCAAGGGUGAAGUGCUUCAAGUAGUAUUUGUGGACAGCAGCAGGUAAGCUUGAUGUGUUAUUCACAGCUUAAAGAGUAGAUGCUGAGUACAGCUGUUGUCCAUGUGUAGAGCUUUUAAUAACCAGCGCAGCAGGCCCCUUCACCUGCUUUUAUGCCUGGACCAGAUGACUGAAUGUAGAACUUUAGGCACUUUUUUUUUUUUUUGAGACGGAGUCUCGGUUUGUUGCCCAGGCUGGAGUGCAGUGGCGCAAUCUCGGCUCACUGCAAGCUCUGCCCCCCGGGUUCACGCCAUUCUCUUGCCUCAGCCUCCCAAGUAGCUGGGACUACAGACUCCCACCACCAUGCCCGGCUAAUUUUUAUAUUUUUUAGUAGAGACAGGGUUUCACCGUGUUAGCCAGGAUGGUCUCAAUCUCCUGACCUGGUGAUCCACCUGCCUUGGCCUCCCAAAGUGCUGGGAUUACAGGUGUGAGCCACCAGAUCGGCCCUUUAGGCACUUUCUACUUCUCAAGGUCAAGAAACAUCCUUUAAAAAGUUAAUUCCCUUUUCUGGAGCCUAAGCCAGAUCUUAUCUAGGCCUUGUGUUGCCAUCUGUUAGCAUUGAUUUCUGGAAUGGAGCAGCUUUCUCAAAGUUUGGUCUUGCUAGUCAUGAGGUCAUGUCAGUGUCUUAGGUCACUGCUGCUCACCUUCCUUACCCAGGGAGUAUACUGCAUAGGUUUCUGAACACCUGUUUUCAUUAUUCACUGUUCCUCUCACUGCCAAGAAUGGAGGGACCCUCAGUUGAAGAUCAAAUUGACUCUGAAGAAAAACUGGAGAUGUUUCUCUUGGAGUUUGGAUAGAGUAUUCACUUGAUAACAUGUUUUUCCCCUGCCUUGCUCUUCACAAGAACAUCUGGCCAGGCAUUAACAAUUAGUAAAUUUUUUUGCAUAUGAACAGUAUUUUUCUGGUCAUGUAGAUGGGUGCACAUGACACUAAACAGCAUUGUUUAGUGUUAUCCCUCUUAACUGGUGGGUUGUAUUUGGGGUGGAGGCUGUAGCCGAGGAGAAGACAUUCACCUCUGUACUCGAGAAACUUUGUGUAGGAAUUUAGUUUAUUUUUUUAUUUUUUUUAAUUUUUUAUUUUUUACUACUUUUACUGUUAGCACAAUGCUAUAAUUGAGCUAAUCUUUGUAGUUUGGUGCAGGACCACCAAGUUUGUGUGACCCAUUACCUACUUUUUCCAUGCUCAGCCAUUACCCUGUCCUGGGGCAUCUGAGGGCAGUAAGGAACAGGUGUCCAAAGGAGGAAUGUUGGUGCCUAUGAGUAUGUUUUCCAGUUGUAUUGAAUUUCUUACUUGGUGUAUUUUUGACUUGUCUUAGUUUCUUUCCUUGUGGUCUAUGCUAUUUUACUUGCGAUUUGUUGGAUAUUCUCCCUGUCAUUAAAGAGUUGUAAAAUGGAAGUUAGUUUCUCUAUGCAAAUGCUUUAAUGGAUGAAGCUGAUAGGUUUAGCAUUGAUUUUUGCUGGUGUCCUUCAACAAGCAUGAAGGUGAUAAAUGUGUUUCCAUGGCUUUAGACUCAUUUUUGAAGUCUUGGAUUGUGUGAACAUUCUUAGAAACAAUAAAAUGUUUUAAUUAAAAGCCCUCGACUACCAGCUGAAUUCAGUGUCUACUAGGAAAAUGGGUAGAUUUGUUACAUUGUCCCUUUGCUCUCUAUGACUUUGUUCCAGUUGUCAAGGAACUUAAAUGGGUAUUCAGGAAAAAGAAUUCUUGUUUCCCUUUCCUCACCUUGCCAGUUAAAUAACUCCUGGUGACACUUCAGGUGGUAGAAUUGAAACACAAACCUGACUUCUGACCACAUGGGUCAAAGGCAAAAGGCAAAUGGCUUCAAAGCCCUUAGUGUGCUUAUCCAGUUCAGGCAGUGAGGAGAUAACCUCUGCUUUCCUCCCUGAGGAGUUUGGAGUAUUUAAGGGGGGAUGGGGGGGGUGUCACUUUGAAAAUAUGUUGCUUUUUCUCCUGAUUGUAUUGAGGCUGAUAUGGAAGGGUUAUUUCUUUCUGGCCAAUACUUUUUGGUAUUUCUAAAUAUUGCAAUCUUGAUUUUUACUAUUAAAUUUGUUAAUUGUCAGUUCUGGCUUUUUUGCAUAAAGAGUUGGUCCAUUAACUUGCCAAUUUGAAGCUUCUAACUAGAUAUUCCCUACUGAAAGUUUUGGAUUUGUUUUUAGUUUGUGGAGCAGUCUUAGCUGGGGACAGGUAAUUGACAACGGCAGAGAUACUUUCUUUUCCUAGGAUUCUAAGUCUGUAAUCCACAUCCUCAAUGUAUUCACAGGACUUUAAAAUUCUCUCCAAAUGAGGAAGGAAAUAUCCUGUUGCUUUCUAAUGUUUACUAAAAGUUGUGUUUAGAACAACAGAUUUUAAUAGGCAUCUUCCUUUGUUAUGUGUCAUUAGCCCUUUGCCCGUUUACCUUAGGGCUCUUUGAAGGAGAAAUGGAUGGGAGAAAACCUGUCACUUGGCGAAAGUAAAAGGGAUAAUUAACUGGCUCAGAGCUUAUGUGCAGAGUUCCAAGCCCCAAAGUUAAUCUAGAACCACUCGAUAACACCAAUAAAAAUAUUUAUUUCACAUCUGUUAUAUAUCUGGAAAAUGUUCUAAGCAUCUUACACAUAUUUCUCAUUAAAUCCACAGGUGACCAUUGUGAGGUAGAUAUUUUGUUCUAAUUUUCCAGAUGAGGAAGCUGAGACCCUAAAAGGCUGACCGGUUCCCUGAUGUGUUACCUGCUUCUGCUACUGAUCCAAACUGCAGAACUUCUCAUUCAUCCCCAAGGCCUCCAGGCAGUAUCCAAUGGGGAAUCAGCUCUAAAAGGAACCAGACCAACGUUUUCCAGCCCCUUCAUUCUGGUGACUGAGGGGAGGAAAGAAUGGGAGGGGGUAUUCUUGUCUAGUGGAUGGAAAGGAAACACACUGUCAAAUUACUAUAUCUCCUUGGUUUUCUAUUACAGUAGAAUUCUCCAGCCAUAUUUUUAUUGUCUAUGGGGGAAGUUGGAGAUGGUGACCUUGAUUAGAAGUGUCUGGAGGGGGAUAAAUGGAGGGGAUAAGAUUCAGUUGGUUUUGGAAAAUGUUAAAGUCUUAAAAUAAUGCGUCCAUCUGAAGAAUUUUUUCUAAAACCAGAGUUUAUAAAAAUAUCACUGAUACAGCCUGCCCCCUCAUUUCCCUGCCACAGGAGAUGUCUUGGACUAGAGACACUUGUUUAAUAAUAGCUUGUCUCUGAUAUUCCCAGUAGCUUCCCUCUGUGUGAGGAAAGGAUAGAAAUGUUCAGGACAUCAUCAUACAGGCUCCUCAUCUACAAAGUUCCAGUAGCAGUGACGCCUACACGGAAGACUUGGAACUGCAAACAGGCUGGGGUCACCUCAGUGACAUCUGACGCUGUCCAACCAGAAGUUCGAUUUUUGUUCUGGGGGUGAAGGAGGAAACAGACUGUACUAAAGGACUAAAAUAAUUUGUCU